This 348-nucleotide ribosomal RNA is filed under the name Enterobacter cloacae. RNAcentral's name for it is "bacterial SSU rRNA". It matches the Rfam family "Bacterial small subunit ribosomal RNA", at positions 553 to 901 of the family's 1533-position model. The record is from RNAcentral. Lineage: Bacteria; Pseudomonadati; Pseudomonadota; Gammaproteobacteria; Enterobacterales; Enterobacteriaceae.
ACUGGGCGUAAGCGCACGCAGGCGGUCUGUCAAGUCGGAUGUGAAAUCCCCGGGCUCAACCUGGGAACUGCAUUCGAAACUGGCAGGCUAGAGUCUUGCUUAGGGGGGUAGAAUUCCAGGUGUAGCGGUGAAAUGCGUAGAGAUCUGGAGGAAUACCGGUGGCGAAGGCGGCCCCCUGGACAAAGACUGACGCUCAGGUGCGAAAGCGUGGGGAGCAAACAGGAUUAGAUACCCUGGUAGUCCACGCCGUAAACGAUGUCGACUUGGAGGUUGUGCCCUUGAGGCGUGCCUUCCGGAGCUAACGCGUUAAGUCAACCGCCUGGGGAGUACGGACGCAAGGUUAAAACU